AGAGGUCACUGCUAUCAGUGUUCGACUAAGCCAUGCGAGUCAAAUGUUCUUCGUGAACAUGGCGUACUGCUCAGUAACACGUGGACAACCUGCCCUAAGGUCUGGCAUAACUCCGGGAAACUGGGGAUAAUUCCAGAUGAACCAUAGAUACUGGAAUGUGCUGUGGUUAAAAGCUCCGGCGCCUUAGGAUGGAUCUGCGGCCUAUCAGGUAGUAGUGGGUGUAAUGUACCUACUAGCCUACGACGGGUACGGGUUGUGAGAGCAAGAGCCCGGAGAUGGAUUCUGAGACAUGAAUCCAGGCCCUACGGGGCGCAGCAGGCGCGAAAACUUUACAAUGCGGGAAACCGCGAUAAGGGGACACUGAGUGCCAGCACCAUGUGUUGGCUGUCCGCAUGUAUAAAUCACAUGUGUCAGCAAGGGCCGGGCAAGACCGGUGCCAGCCGCCGCGGUAACACCGGCGGCCCGAGUGGUGGCCAUUAUUAUUGGGUCUAAAGGGUCCGUAGCCGGUUUGAUCAGUCUUCCGGGAAAUCUGACAGCUCAACUAUUAGGCUUUCGGGGGAUACUGCCAGACUUGGAACCGGGAGAGGUAAGAGGUACUACAGGGGUAGGAGUGAAAUCUUGUAAUCCCUGUGGGACCACCUGUGGCGAAGGCGUCUUACCAGAACGGGUUCGACGGUGAGGGACGAAAGCUGGGGGCACGAACCGGAUUAGAUACCCGGGUAGUCCCAGCCGUAAACGAUGCUCGCUAGGUGUCAGGCAUGGCGCGACCGUGUCUGGUGCCGCAGGGAAGCCGUGAAGCGAGCCACCUGGGAAGUACGGCCGCAAGGCUGAAACUUAAAGGAAUUGGCGGGGGAGCACAACAACGGGUGGAGCCUGCGGUUU
This 882-nucleotide ribosomal RNA is filed under the name uncultured archaeon. RNAcentral's name for it is "bacterial SSU rRNA". It matches the Rfam family "Archaeal small subunit ribosomal RNA", at positions 19 to 903 of the family's 1478-position model. The record is from RNAcentral.